RNAcentral lists this long non-coding RNA (385 nucleotides) under Homo sapiens (human). Its description in RNAcentral is "non-protein coding BVES-AS1:7". The record is from RNAcentral. Lineage: Eukaryota; Metazoa; Chordata; Mammalia; Primates; Hominidae.
CCUCGCUCCCGCGACUCCGCUGCGGGGGUACUUAACCGAAACUAGCAAUCCCAGGCGGUACAAGGCCCUCCAUCGUAGGCAAAGCACUACCUGAAUGUAGAUUUGGGCCAUACGUUGGAAAAUAAGACAUGAGAGUAUGCUCCGAUCAACUUUUACUGUUCACUGGACAACUAUUUUGGGAAUUUGCAGACCUAUAAAGCCCAUCUAUAAAUCUCAAGCAUGUCCACUUUCAGAGAAGAGAAAUGCUGACAACCAUUUAGUCUCUGAGGACAACACUUUUAAAGUGUAACAAUGUGGCAUCCAGAGCUUAUCCAGAUGAGCGGAGAGCAAAUGAAUUUCCUUCUGCUCCCCUGUUGAAGAGGAGAGAAAAAUUCUUCAAGCUGUA